UAUCUCUGUAGAGUCUGCAUAUCAAUAAGCGGAGGAAAAGAAACUAACAAGGAUUCCCCUAGUAACGGCGAGUGAAGCGGGAAGAGCUCAAAUUUGAAAUCUUCAAGGUUUGACCUUGACGAAUUGUAGUUUAAAGAAGUGUUUUCGGUUAGAGGAGUAGGUAAAGUUCUUUGGAAUAGGACAUCAUAGAGGGUGAGAAUCCCGUAUUUGACUAUUCUUUCUAGCUUUGUGAUACACUUUCAAAGAGUCGGAUUGUUUGGGAAUGCAGUCCAAAAUGGGUGGUAAAUUUCAUCUAAAGCUAAAUAUUGGCGAGAGACCGAUAGCGAACAAGUACCGUGAGGGAAAGAUGAAAAGAACUUUGAAAAGAGAGUUAAACAGUACGUGAAAUUGUCAAAAGGGAAGCGCUUGACACCAGUGUUGUUUUCUCGAAAAUCAAUUAAAAAUUGAUUCAUGCCAGGUUGUAUUGACCUUAUCAGCUUGCAAUUUGGUUUUGGGUCUCUUUUUGAUGCACUUUUCGGUUAACAAGUCAACAUCAAUUUCCUUUGCUGUAAAAAGGUAAGAGGAAGGUGGCUUCAAUUUCGGUUGAAGUGUUUAUAGCCUUUUAUCUCUGCAGUCGGGGAGAUUGAGGUCUGCAGCGUAGAUCCUUCGGGGCUAGAUACAUUUAUGCUAAGUUAUAGCUUUUCAUAGACAACUUGUUGACUAUGUUUAGUCAUGCGGCUUACUCGCUUGUGCUAUUUUACCUACGCUUAGGAUGUUGAGCGCAUGUCUCUCUCU
This 774-nucleotide ribosomal RNA is filed under the name uncultured Neocallimastigales. RNAcentral's name for it is "partial large subunit ribosomal RNA". It matches the Rfam family "Eukaryotic large subunit ribosomal RNA", at positions 24 to 642 of the family's 3401-position model. Lineage: Eukaryota; Fungi; Neocallimastigomycota; Neocallimastigomycetes; Neocallimastigales. The record is from RNAcentral.